GGCAGCUGCACAGCAGCCAAGUGCGGGUGCCUGAUAGCUUCCGAUCUCAGAAGCUAAACAGGGCUGUGCUUGGUUAGUACUUGAUUGGGAGACCAGCUUAGAAAACCAGGGGCCGCUAGCC
This 121-nucleotide ribosomal RNA is filed under the name Mastacembelus armatus (zig-zag eel). Lineage: Eukaryota; Metazoa; Chordata; Actinopteri; Synbranchiformes; Mastacembelidae. The record is from RNAcentral.